This 253-nucleotide ribosomal RNA is filed under the name uncultured bacterium. RNAcentral's name for it is "partial 16S ribosomal RNA". It matches the Rfam family "Bacterial small subunit ribosomal RNA", at positions 524 to 776 of the family's 1533-position model. The record is from RNAcentral.
CACGUAGGGCGCAAGCGUUGUCCGGAAUUAUUGGGCGUAAAGAGCUCGUAGGUGGUUUGUUACGUCUGCUGUGAAAUCCUAGGGCUUAACCCUGGGCUUGCAGUGGAUACGGGCAGACUAGAGGUAGGUAGGGGAGAAUGGAAUUCCUGGUGUAGCGGUGAAAUGCGCAGAUAUCAGGAGGAACACCGGUGGCGAAGGCGGCUCUCUGGAACGCAACUGACGCUGAGACGCGAAAGCGUGGGGAGCGAACAGG